This 460-nucleotide ribosomal RNA is filed under the name uncultured bacterium. RNAcentral describes it as "partial 16S ribosomal RNA". It matches the Rfam family "Bacterial small subunit ribosomal RNA", at positions 338 to 795 of the family's 1533-position model. The record is from RNAcentral.
CCUACGUGAGGCAGCAGUGAGGACUAUUGGUCAAUGGCCGUAAGGCUGAACCAGCCAAGUAGCGUGAGUGAAGACUGCCCUAUGGGUUGUAAACCUCUUUUAUGCGGGGAUAAAGGUGUCCACGUGUGGAUGUUUGCAGGUACCGCAUGAAUAAGGACCGGCUAAUUCAGUGCCAGCAGCCGCGGUAAUACGGAAGGUCCGGGCGUUAUACGGUUUUAUUGGGGUUAAAGGGAGCGUAGGCCGGUCUUUAAGCGUGCCGUGAAAUUUUGUGGCGGAACCAGGGGAGUGCUGCGCGAACUGGCGCCCUUGAGUGCGCGGAAGGCAGGCGGAAUUCGUGGUGUAGCGGUGAAAUGCUUAGAUAUCACGAAGAACCCCGAUUGCGAAGGCAGCCUGCCGCAGCGUUACUGACGCUGAAGCUCGAAAGCGCGGGUAUCGAACAGGAUUAGAUACCCCAGUAGUC